Molecule: ribosomal RNA, 261 nt
Filed under: uncultured bacterium
Lineage: Bacteria
Description: partial 16S ribosomal RNA
Rfam family: Bacterial small subunit ribosomal RNA
Source: RNAcentral
GUCCACACUGUAAACGAUGAUCACUAGCUGUUGGCAAUAAACAGUCAGCGGCAAAGCGAAAGCAUUAAGUGAUCCACCUGGGGAGUACGGCGGCAACGCUGAAACUCAAAAGGAAUUGACGGGGGCCCGCACAAGCGGUGGAACAUGUGGUUUAAUUCGAUGAUACGCGAGGAACCUUACCUGGGCUUAAAAUGUGAGACGACGUUACGGGAAACCGUAAUUCCCUUCGGGGCGUUUUGCAAGGUGCUGCAUGGUUGUCGU